Molecule: small RNA, 86 nt
Filed under: Vibrio genomosp. F10
Lineage: Bacteria; Pseudomonadati; Pseudomonadota; Gammaproteobacteria; Vibrionales; Vibrionaceae
Description: Vibrio sp. F10 Qrr RNA
Rfam family: Qrr RNA
About the family: This family represents a set of small RNAs (the Qrr RNAs) that are thought to be involved in the regulation of quorum sensing in Vibrio species. It is believed that these RNAs, guided by a protein, Hfq, can mediate the destabilisation of the quorum-sensing master regulators LuxR/HapR mRNAs.
Source: Rfam by way of RNAcentral
GUCACCUAGCCAACUGACGUUGUUAGUGAAUUUCUUGUUCACACAUUAUAUCGGCCAAUCGCUCUAUUGCGAUUGGCCAUUUUUUU